UCCGGAAUUCACUGGGAUUAAGGGGCUGU
RNAcentral lists this non-coding RNA (29 nucleotides) under Mus musculus (house mouse). Lineage: Eukaryota; Metazoa; Chordata; Mammalia; Rodentia; Muridae. The record is from RNAcentral.